Molecule: small RNA, 139 nt
Filed under: bovine gut metagenome
Description: Clostridiales-1 RNA
Rfam family: Clostridiales-1 RNA
Source: RNAcentral
AACUCCUGAGCCGUGCUUGCACGGGCGAAGGAGCUGGCAUUGCUGACACGCCCCGACAUGAGCAUGCAGCGGGGGAGGGGCCCCGCGGAAUGCGAAUGGAGGGGCAGAUUGCGAGAGUGCGAAGCACGAAGCAAUCUGU